ACAGAAGGGACAAAUACAUGCAACUAUUGCCUUCCUGGCUGGGAGAAAGCAGAUGAUUCCUGAUAUACCUACAGGUCAUACCCCAGUGCAUGGCAGCAAAAUUGCGGGACUGGGAUGAAGGAGGAAGGCGACCUCCCUUUGAGCACAUCCCAAUGCUGAUUUCACUGUUGCUGUUACCCCUGAGCUCAGGGUAGCCUGCUGUCUGCUUGUGCCUGGAGGCCCCAGGUCAGAGCCCUGCGUAACUCAUUCUUGAUCUGCUAACAUGGGAACUAUAAAUAAAUGGUGACACCAGAGAGUGGUGGAGGAGGUAGAAAGGGGCUGUGCUUCUCAACCUGAGACACUCAGUCUAUUCAGCUUACCCAACAGACUGAUGACGAUCUGUAAAUAUCAACCAAGCAAGACUAUUUCUGAUAGCCAAGGGCUCUGGCCUGACAAAGAUAAAAUUCUCUGGCAUGAGCUGGAGCUGGACAAAUUCGGACUAAAAAGAAGUUGCAGUUUAUUUCAAGUGAAGCAAACAGCUGAAUUUUCUUCACUAAGGAUUAUUUUUGAACCAUGAGGACCUGCUUAGUUUCAAGAUGUGCUGCAGCUUACCCCCCAAAAUUCCCAAUUUGUGACUGUGAAAGAAUCACUUGGGAGAUUGAAAGGAGAUUGCAGGUGCUCCAGAUGAGCCCUGGCAAUUCACACCAAGGGGAUUUAAGACAUUACAGUGACAGUCAUCCCUCUGACUUUUAUCCCUCCUACCUUCUGCCACCAGCUGCUCCUUCUGCCAGCACAAAGGGGACACGCUGGCCUCUGGUGCCCACAGCACAGCACAGUCACCUGGACAGCACCGAGCCCAGUUUAAUUAAUACAGCUGUCAUGGAGGGGGCAGCAGUGGGGCCGACAUACCCCUCUCCUCUGCACCAGGAAAGCAGGGGGACCAUGGAGGAGAAAAAUCCUUCAGCGUGCCCUGCCAGGAGGCAGCAGCACUUGCCUGGGAGACCCAGCCCAUGCACACACGGUAGGAGCUGGGAGGCAGGAGAUACUGUUGAGGGGCAGCUGCAGCACACACAGACAGGAGCAAAGGACAGGGAGGAAGAACCCUGUCUUAUCCUUUGUUCCUGCAGUAACCUGAAUCAUGCAGCUAAACAUUCAGCACCCUGCCCUGCCUACAGCACCGUGCUUCAUGAUGUGGAAAUUUGCAGGUGGAGAGAGGGAAGUAGAACCAGCAUAUACAGCAACAAGGACCUCAGGGAGGUGACGCUACAGCCAGGGUGGUUCCACCUCCCUGAAAGCAGGAAUGCCUGUGCUGUGCAGGUAUGCACGUUACACACAAGCACACUCACAUGCACACCUACCUUUUCUAACAGCAGAAGCAGCCACAGAGUCCAUAUUUUCUAGAUUUUACUUCUAUAUCUGCAAAAAGCAAGUUUGCUUCUGUUUCUGAUUCCCUGCAGUUAUCGUGAAAUGCCUUCAAGAGAGCAGCUCUGUCUUCUCGGCUGAGUGAACCUUUGAUGUCCAGCACUGCACUCAGAUGUUCCUUCCUUUCCAAAAGGAUAAGAGGGCAGGAUCCUUAAGGGGACCAGCUGCAGGACCCUGGGAAGAGAAGCAAAGCUGUGCUCGGGACAAGGGACACAACAUACAACAUUAUGAGCUGGACUCGUACCAGACUGGGGAUCUCACUGUGUGGCUUAGGAGCUUUGCAGGACUGUUUGUGUAUGUACAGAAGUUUGUUUUCCCUCCAGGUUAGGAGGCAAGAAACUGGGGUGUAACCACAGACUGCUUCCAGGGCUGCUGGGUGACUACCUUCAGCAGUGCAGAAUCCCCUCCUGCACUUUCUUUGACAAAGAGGCCAAAUGUACCUCAUUUUUCCCUACCUCACCUGUCCUCUCAAGGCCAUGUCACCCUUUGGGAAGUGGUUUCCUUCCAGAGGUAAGCACAGCCCAGUAUCUAGUGAAAACAAGCUCUGUUGGCCAAACAUGAUGGCAUUUCUGCUGUCCUGGAGCAAGCCCAGGGAAAGUUGAAAAGUGACCUUGGGGAGAGGGUGAGGGGACACAGAUCCCCUAACAGAAAAACAGAAAAAAGAGUAAGCAGGGCCGGACACUGAAAAGGAUAUGACAUGGCUGGUAGAUGCUGCAUAUGGUCAGCUCCCUCUGAACUAGAGCACGCAGAAGAAGAAAGCCUCAUCCAGAAACACAGCAUUUUUAGCAAAGCCGGAGGAAGCAGAAUGUGGAUGAACUUCCAAGAGAAAGCUUCAGGUCCUUCCUGUUCAUAUUUUUCAUCAGUGCAGUAAUGCGAUUAAAUUGCUUCUCUGAAUUAUUGAUGACAUCACGUCAACAGAGACUCUGUGACAAAGCAAACCUGGAGAACGGGCUGCCAAACUGGGGCAGGAGAAGCCAGGGCUCCUCUGAUCUCCACAGGGCAUUAGAAACAGCAGGCUGCAGUCUCAGUGCAGCUCACCUCCGCAUUGAACAUAAAUUAAAAAUAAUAGUAAUAUUAAAAGACAGCCUUCCCUCUCUUCCUCCACACUGCAGACAAACAGCAUGCCUAGCUCUGCACAGCACACAAGCUGUACUCAGCUCCCAACGCACUGAUACUGGAAGACUUCAUGCUUGGCAAGCUUGCUAUUACAAAUGCUAAUUAAUUUGAAGGUGUCAGAUUUAGUUAAGGGCUAUAUAGACAGGCAAGGUCAGGGGUAAACAGCCUGCAAUCUAAAAGGACAAAAAAGAGGCAUCUUGUCAGCAGUGCUUAAGUGCCUUUGACAGGUAGUGCUCUUAGGAGAGAAGCAAGGUAUUUCCUAAUGUGCUUUAAGGUUGGAGGGGAAGGAAGAACCUGAAGAGAGGGCAGAGCAGGGCAGGGAGCAGGUGCAGCCUCUGCAGCAACUGCAUGAUAAAUUCAGUCUGUAGCAGAGUACAUAUUUUGCAUGCAUAACUGUGUACCUCAUUUGACUGAAUAUCAGCCUGUCCCCUGCAAAUCGCUUAUACGUUUCCUCCCUGAGAUUUUCGGUGUUCCCACAUCAAUAAGAAAGUGCACAGACCGGGGAUGCAAGGGGAACAGUGCUAACUAGAUGCAGACUUUUUUCACCCAAGCUCAAUGUAGGGUUUUAGUACAUAAUUAGAUUUCCUGUAUCUCCUUUACACUAUAAAACCAGCUUUCCUUGCACAUUACAUCCAAAGCUGAUGCUGAGAACAGCAUUACUGGUAGACUUCAGAGCUAAGAUUAGAGAAUCCUCCUGCUAUUCCCAAUGGCUCGAUUGCUCAAAGCAUUGACUUGUCUGUGAUUGAUCACUCCAGGAGAGGUGGAUCUUCAGCUAAGAGCACUGCCAGCUUCCAGCUUUCCACCAUGAAACUAAUGCAUUAAUUGUAAUGGGUCUGAGAGGUUUCUAGAGGAGCCUACAGACGAUCAUUCUGAUUUCAUUUUAUUCUUUGGACAAGGUCAGAAUUGCUGAAAAAUGACUUGCAGGGGGCUCAGCUGGAAGAAAAUAGAUUUCCAGUCCCUAGCACUUAAAUUCAUAAGUUCUAAGAAUGACUCCAAAUUUGCGAAAUUAUUAAAACCAAUAAA
Non-coding RNA from Phalacrocorax carbo (great cormorant), 3540 nucleotides. NCBI's taxonomy places the organism in Eukaryota, Metazoa, Chordata, Aves, Suliformes, Phalacrocoracidae. The record is from RefSeq and is a predicted model, not a curated record.